This 478-nucleotide ribosomal RNA is filed under the name uncultured bacterium. RNAcentral describes it as "partial 16S ribosomal RNA". It matches the Rfam family "Bacterial small subunit ribosomal RNA", at positions 28 to 507 of the family's 1533-position model. The record is from RNAcentral.
GAUGAACGCUGGCGGCGUGCUUAACACAUGCAAGUCGAACGGGAAACCUUUUAUUGAAGCUUCGGCAGAUUUAGCUGGUUUCUAGUGGCGGACGGGUGAGUAACGCGUGGGUAACCUGCCUUAUACAGGGGGAUAACAACCAGAAAUGGUUGCUAAUACCGCAUAAGCGCACAGGACCGCAUGGUCCGGUGUGCAAAACUCCGGUGGUAUAAGAUGGACCCGCGUUGGAUUAGCUAGUUGGCAGGGUAACGGCCUACCAAGGCGACGAUCCAUAGCCGGCCUGAGAGGGUGAACCGCCACAUUGGGACUGAGACACGGCCCAGACUCCUACGGGAGGCAGCAGUGGGGAAUAUUGCACAAUGGGGGAAACCCUGAUGCAGCGACGCCGCGUGAAGGAAGAAGUAUCUCGGUAUGUAAACUUCUAUCAGCAGGGAAGAUAGUGACGGUACCUGACUAAGAAGCCCCGGCUAACUACGUG